UACGGGGGGGGCAAGCGUUGUUCGGAAUUACUGGGCGUAAAGGGCUCGUAGGUGGCCAACUAAGUCGGACGUGAAAUCCCUCAGCUUAACUGGGGAACUGCGUCCGAUACUGGAUGGCUUGAGUUUGGGAGAGGGAUGCGGAAUUCCAGGUGUAGCGGUGAAAUGCGUAGAGAUGUGGAGGAACACCGAUGGCGAAGGCAGCCCCCUGGGCUGAGAUUGACGCUCAGGCACGAAAGCGUGGGGAGCAAACAGG
RNAcentral lists this ribosomal RNA (253 nucleotides) under uncultured bacterium. RNAcentral's name for it is "partial 16S ribosomal RNA". It matches the Rfam family "Bacterial small subunit ribosomal RNA", at positions 524 to 776 of the family's 1533-position model. The record is from RNAcentral.